This 246-nucleotide ribosomal RNA is filed under the name uncultured bacterium. RNAcentral describes it as "partial small subunit ribosomal RNA". It matches the Rfam family "Bacterial small subunit ribosomal RNA", at positions 26 to 286 of the family's 1533-position model. The record is from RNAcentral.
AGAAUCAACGCUGGCGGCGUGCCUAACACAUGCAAGUCGCACGAGAAAGGGUAGCAAUACCUGAGUAAAGUGGCGCACGGGUGAGUAACACGUGAAUGAUCUACCUCCGAGUGGGGAAUAACUGAGAGAAAUCUUAGCUAAUACCACAUAACACUUACGAGUCAAAGCAGCAAUGCGCUUGGAGAGGAGUUCGCGGCCGAUUAGUUAGUUGGCGGGGUAAUGGCCCACCAAGACGAUGAUCGGUAU